This 440-nucleotide ribosomal RNA is filed under the name uncultured bacterium. Its description in RNAcentral is "partial 16S ribosomal RNA". It matches the Rfam family "Bacterial small subunit ribosomal RNA", at positions 338 to 795 of the family's 1533-position model. The record is from RNAcentral.
CCUACGGGGGGCAGCAGUGGGGAAUAUUGCACAAUGGGGGAAACCCUGAUGCAGCGACGCCGCGUGAGCGAAGAAGUAUUUCGGUAUGUAAAGUUCUAUCAGCAGGGAAGAAAAUGACGGUACCUGACUAAGAAGCCCCGGCUAACUACGUGCCAGCAGCCGCGGUAAUACGUAGGGGGCAAGCGUUAUCCGGAUUUACUGGGUGUAAAGGGAGCGUAGGCGGCUUGGCAAGUCAGAAGUGAAAGACCGGGGCUCAACCCCGGGACUGCGUUUGAAACUGUUGAACUAGAGUGCCGGAGAGGUAAGCGGAAUUCCUGGUGUAGCGGUGAAAUGCGUAGAUAUUAGGAGGAACACCAGUGGCGAAGGCGGCCUGCUGGACGGUAACUGACGUUGAGGCUCGAAAGCGUGGGGAGCAAACAGGAUUAGAUACCCUGGUAGUC